RNAcentral lists this ribosomal RNA (520 nucleotides) under uncultured bacterium. RNAcentral's name for it is "bacterial SSU rRNA". It matches the Rfam family "Bacterial small subunit ribosomal RNA", at positions 777 to 1297 of the family's 1533-position model. The record is from RNAcentral.
AAUAGAUACCCCGGUAGUCCACGCUGUAAACGUUGGACACUAGGUGUGGCGGUCUGAUCAACGACUGCCGUGCCGAAGCUAACGCAUUAAGUGUCCCGCCUGGGGAGUACGGCCGCAAGGCUAAAACUCAAAGGAAUUGACGGGUCCCCGCACAAGCGGCGGAGCAUGCGGCUUAAUUCGAUGCAACCCGAAGAACCUUACCUGGGUUUGACAUCAUGGGAAAAGCCGUGGAAACACGGUGUCCGUAAGGGCCCAUGACAGGUGGUGCAUGGCUGUCGUCAGCUCGUGUCGUGAGAUGUUGGGUUAAGUCCCGCGACGAGCGCAACCUUUGUCCUAUGUUGCCAGCGGUUCGGCCGGGGACUCAUAGGAGACUGCCGGGGAUAACUCGGAGGAAGGUGAGGACGAUGUCAAGUCAUCAUGCCCCUUAUAUCCAGGGCUGCACGCAUGCUACAAUGGUCGGUACAACGGGCAGCGAUCCUGCGAAGGUGAGCGAAUCCCACAAAGCCGGCCUCAGUUCGGA